RNAcentral lists this ribosomal RNA (741 nucleotides) under uncultured Bacillus sp. Its description in RNAcentral is "bacterial SSU rRNA". It matches the Rfam family "Bacterial small subunit ribosomal RNA", at positions 21 to 745 of the family's 1533-position model. Lineage: Bacteria; Bacillati; Bacillota; Bacilli; Caryophanales; Bacillaceae. The record is from RNAcentral.
CGGUCAGGACGAACGCUGGCGGCGUGCUUAUUACAUGCCAGUCGAGCGGAUCUUCAUUAGCUUGCUUUUGAAGAUCAGCGGCGGACGGGUGAGUAACACGUGGGUAACCUGCCUGUAAGACUGGGAUAACUUCGGGAAACCGGAGCUAAUACCGGAUAAUCCUUUCCCUCACAUGAGGGAAAGCUGAAAGACGGUUUCGGCUGUCACUUACAGAUGGGCCCGCGGCGCAUUAGCUAGUUGGUGAGGUAACGGCUCACCAAGGCAACGAUGCGUAGCCGACCUGAGAGGGUGAUCGGCCACACUGGGACUGAGACACGGCCCAGACUCCUACGGGAGGCAGCAGUAGGGAAUCUUCCGCAAUGGACGAAAGUCUGACCGAGCAACGCCGCGUGAACGAUGAAGGCUUUCGGGUCGUAAAGUUCUGUUGUCAGGGAAGAACAAGUACCGGAGUAACUGCCGGUACCUUGACGGUACCUGACCAGAAAGCCACGGCUAACUACGUGCCAGCAGCCGCGGUAAUACGUAGGUGGCAAGCGUUGUCCGGAAUUAUUGGGCGUAAAGCGCGCGCAGGCGGUUCCUUAAGUCUGAUGUGAAAGCCCCCGGUUCAACCGGGGAGGGUCAUUGGAAACUGGGGAACUUGAGUGCAGAAGAGGAGAGCGGAAUUCCACGUGUAGCGGUGAAAUGCGUAGAGAUGUGGAGGAACACCAGUGGCGAAGGCGGCUCUCUGGUCUGUAACUGACU